AAGCCAUGCAUGUCUAAGUUUAAGCAAUUAAACCGCGAAACUGCGAAUGGCUCAUUAAACCAGUUAUAGUUUAUUUGAUAGUACCUUACUACAUGGAUAACCGUGGUAAUUCUAGAGCUAAUACAUGCUAAAAACCCCGACUUCGGAAGGGGUGUAUUUAUUAGAUUAAAAACCAAUGCCCUUCGGGGCUAACUGGUGAUUCAUAAUAACUUCUCGAAUCGCAUGGCCUUGCGCUGGCGAUGGUUCAUUCAAAUUUCUGCCCUAUCAACUUUCGACGGCUGGGUCUUGGCCAGCCAUGGUGACAACGGGUAACGGAGGGUUAGGGCUCGACCCCGGAGAAGGAGCCUGAGAAACGGCUACUACAUCCAAGGAAGGCAGCAGGCGCGCAAAUUACCCAAUCCCGACACGGGGAGGUAGUGACAAUAAAUACUGAUACAGGGCUCUUUUGGGUCUUGUAAUUGGAAUGAGUACAAUUUAAAUCCCUUAACGAGGAACAAUUGGAGGGCAAGUCUGGUGCCAGCAGCCGCGGUAAUUCCAGCUCCAAUAGCGUAUAUUAAAGUUGUUGAGGUUAAAAAGCUCGUAGUUGAACCUUGGGCUCGGCCCGUCGGUCCGCCUCACCGCGUGCACUGACUGGGUCGGGCCUUUUUUCCUGGAGAACCGCAUGCCCUUCACUGGGUGUGUCGGGGAACCAGGACUUUUACCGUGAACAAAUCAGAUCGCUCAAAGAAAGGCCUAUGCUCGAAUGUACUAGCAUGGAAUAAUAGAAUAGGACGUGUGGUUCUAUUUUGUUGGGUUUCUAGGACCGCCGUAAUGAUUAAUAGGGACAGUCGGGGCAUCAGUAUUCAAUUGUCAGAGGUGAAAUUCUUGGAAUUUAUUGAAGACUAACUACUGCGAAAGCAUUGGCCAAGGAUGUUUUCUUAGUCGAACUGUACGGGAUCGAAGACGAUCAGAAUACCGUCGUAGUCUUACCAUAAACUAUGCCGAUUAGGGAUCGAC
RNAcentral lists this ribosomal RNA (996 nucleotides) under uncultured Ascomycota. RNAcentral's name for it is "SSU rRNA". It matches the Rfam family "Eukaryotic small subunit ribosomal RNA", at positions 46 to 1057 of the family's 1831-position model. Lineage: Eukaryota; Fungi; Ascomycota. The record is from RNAcentral.